AGUGAACGCUGGCGGUAGGCCUAACACAUGCAAGUCGAACGGCAGCACAGUAAGAGCUUGCUCUUACGGGUGGCGAGUGGCGGACGAGUGAGGAAUACAUCGGAAUCUACUUUUUCGUGGGGGAUAACGUAGGGAAACUUACGCUAAUACCGCAUACGACCUACGGGUGAAAGCAGGGGAUCUUCGGCCCUUGCGCGAUUGAAUGAGCCGAUGUCGGAUUAGCUAGUUGGCGGGGUAAAGGCCCACCAAGGCGACGAUCCGUAGCUGGUCUGAGAGGAUGAUCAGCCACACUGGAACUGAGACACGGUCCAGACUCCUAUGGGAGGCAGCAGUGGGGAAUAUUGGACAAUGGGCGCAAGCCUGAUCCAGCCAUACCGCGUGGGUGAAGAAGGCCUUCGGGUUGUAAAGCCCUUUUGUUGGGAAAGAAAAGCAGCAGGUUAAUACCCCGCUGUUCUGACGGUACCCAAAGAAUAAGCACCGGCUAACUUCGUG
Molecule: ribosomal RNA, 492 nt
Filed under: uncultured bacterium
Lineage: Bacteria
Description: partial 16S ribosomal RNA
Rfam family: Bacterial small subunit ribosomal RNA
Source: RNAcentral